RNAcentral lists this ribosomal RNA (253 nucleotides) under uncultured bacterium. RNAcentral describes it as "partial 16S ribosomal RNA". It matches the Rfam family "Bacterial small subunit ribosomal RNA", at positions 524 to 776 of the family's 1533-position model. The record is from RNAcentral.
UACGGAGGGUGCAAGCGUUAAUCGGAAUUACUGGGCGUAAAGCGCACGCAGGUGGCUGAGUCAGUCGAUUGUGAAAGCCCUGGGCUUAACCUGGGAAUUGCAGUCGAUACUACUCGGCUUGAGUAUGGGAGAGGGCAGUGGAAUUCUCGGUGUAGCGGUGAAAUGCGUAGAGAUGUGGAGGAAUACCGAUGGCGAAGGCAGCCCCCUGGGCUAACACUGACGCUCAUGCACGAAAGCGUGGGGAGCAAACAGG